AUUGAACGCUGGCGGCAUGCCUUACACAUGCAAGUCGAACGGUAACGGGCCUUCGGGUGCCGACGAGUGGCGAACGGGUGAGUAAUGUAUCGGAACGUACCUUUCAGUGGGGGAUAACGUAGCGAAAGUUACGCUAAUACCGCAUAUUCUGUGCGCAGGAAAGCAGGGGAUCGCAAGACCUUGCGCUGAUUGAGCGGCCGAUAUCAGAUUAGCUAGUUGGUGAGGUAAAGGCUCACCAAGGCGACGAUCUGUAGCGGGUCUGAGAGGAUGAUCCGCCACACUGGAACUGAGACACGGUCCAGACUCCUACGGGAGGCAGCAGUGGGGAAUUCUGGACAAUGGGGGCAACCCUGAUCCAGCCAUGCCGCGUGAGUGAAGAAGGCCUCGGUUGGUAAGGUA
Molecule: ribosomal RNA, 399 nt
Filed under: uncultured bacterium
Lineage: Bacteria
Description: bacterial SSU rRNA
Rfam family: Bacterial small subunit ribosomal RNA
Source: RNAcentral